AUUGAACGCUGGCGGCAGGCCUAACACAUGCAAGUCGAGCGGAUGAAGGGAGCUUGCUCCUGGAUUCAGCGGCGGACGGGUGAGUAAUGCCUAGGAAUCUGCCUGGUAGUGGGGGAUAACGUCCGGAAACGGGCGCUAAUACCGCAUACGUCCUGAGGGAGAAAGUGGGGGAUCUUCGGACCUCACGCUAUCAGAUGAGCCUAGGUCGGAUUAGCUAGUUGGUGGGGUAAAGGCCUACCAAGGCGACGAUCCGUAACUGGUCUGAGAGGAUGAUCAGUCACACUGGAACUGAGACACGGUCCAGACGCCUACGGGAGGCAGAAGUGGGGAAUAUUGGACAAUGGGCGAAAGCCUGAUCCAGCCAUGCCGCGUGUGUGAAGAAGGUCUUCGGAUUGUAAAGCACUUUAAGUUGGGAGGAAGGGCAGUAAGUUAAUACCUUGCUGUUUUGACGUUACCAACAGAAUAAGCACCGGCUAACUUCGUG
This 484-nucleotide ribosomal RNA is filed under the name uncultured bacterium. RNAcentral's name for it is "partial 16S ribosomal RNA". It matches the Rfam family "Bacterial small subunit ribosomal RNA", at positions 30 to 507 of the family's 1533-position model. The record is from RNAcentral.